GAUGAAGAACGUAGUGAAAUGCGAUAAGUAAUGUGAAUUGCAGAAUUCAGUGAAUCAUCGAAUCUUUGAACGCACCUUGCACUCCUUGGUAUUCCGAGGAGUACGCCUGUUCGAGUGUUAUGAAGCUCUCAAAACGCAAUUGGCUUAAAACCUGAUUGUUGUUUUGGAUUUGAACUUUGCCGUGUUAUAACGGCUGGUUUUAAAAGUAUUAGCUGGUACUAGAACGAAUUGGUUCUACUCAACGUGAUAAUUAUCUGAUCGUUGAGGACAUUCCUUUCACGAGGAAUGGCCAUAGUAAAUUCAAUGGACUGCUUCUAAUCUGGCUUUAAUUCUUUAUUGGAUUAACCACUUUUCAAAUCUGACCUCGAAUCAGGUGGGGCUACCCGCUGAACUUAAGCAUAUCAAUAAGCGGAGGA
This 416-nucleotide unclassified non-coding RNA is filed under the name soil metagenome. RNAcentral's name for it is "partial contains 5.8S ribosomal RNA, internal transcribed spacer 2, and large subunit ribosomal RNA". The stretch from base 1 to 120 matches the Rfam family "5.8S ribosomal RNA", at positions 35 to 154 of the family's 154-position model. The record is from RNAcentral.